CGGGCGGUGGGCUCGGCCCCGAGCCGCUGGAGCUCGGGGGACACCGCUCGUACACGGGUGUGGGUUUGGGCGCUGCUGUGUGGCGGCGGGGUUUGGGCUCGGCGGGCCUUCCGUCUGGGCCGCCCUGUGGUUCUGAGGUGAGCACGGAUGGGGCUUGCUGGGUGGGAGCUGCUUGCCGGCGCUCAGCUUGCAGGUGCUAGCGUCCCAAGGGCGCUAAAACCACCUACCCCAUCCUCUCCCUGUAGUUCCAACUCCAGUAGUUUGCUCUUCAAGUGAUGUUUUGUCGAGUCUGAGUGGCUCUCUCACAGGGGCCGUAAGGACCUGGCACCCCCCAGUGCAGAACAGCUGCCCGCUCCCUGUUUAGCUGCAUAGGAGUUUUUUCCCCUCUUACUCUAAUCUUCCUGCAGGGAGAACAAGUGCUUAGGUUUCCUUAUUUUGAUGUGUUUGAAUUUUACAAUUAACUUCUUCCACCCUGGAGAGGUACUGGGCAUUUUUCAAGGCUAACGUGCAGUUGUAUGAGGGAUUGCCUGAAACCAGAACGUUCAACUGAACCUGGCUUUUCUCGUCAAUUAGUACUUCCCAAUAUGAUAAUUUCACCAAAAGUAAACGUUCUGUGAGCUGAAUUUCUUUACCAGAUGGUUUUGCCCACUGCUCUGACGAGUAGAGGUUAAGGAUUUUUCCACGCAUCUUAUUGAAGAUAAAAUGUAAGGGAGCUUAUACUUCAACACGUGAGGUAAAAAUUCCCUCUGCCCAAGAGCGUAUUUCAGAAACCACAUCAACAUUAUUUAGGGGAAUUGACAGUGAUGUCCUGAUACCUCUCUGGGACGUGCUAGAAAGCUGGACAUGCUGGUUAUUUUUAUUGUGUUUUGGUUUCUAGUUCAAAUACUUAGGAAGGAUGGGAUAGAGCAAGCCAUUUUCACUUGACAACUAAUUCUUCAGUGCACUGUGCACUUCAAGGACCAGCAAGCCUUGUGGCCAGCAGUCCAGACUGCCAGCAUCAACCCUGCUGCCUGCAAUUGCAGCUGGGGCAGGAUGCUUUGGGCCAGUAAUGAAGAAAAAAUGAACAACCUGCAAGAAGGAAGGUUUUCUUUCCUAGCUGUGUGCAGGCAGACCCUAAAAAUAGAAGCAGAACUGUGGACCUGAUACGUGCAGCAGGUGAGGUCGUCAGGAGACAGAAUGACUCUUACUGAGCCCGUCUUGAAGACAGUCACUGCUGUAGAAGAGCACUGAAGCACAGUAGUUUGCGUAGCGCUGGAUUUCCAACUUUGCCUUCGUAUGGCAUAGAAAAACCCAGUUUUCUCGCAACGUAACUGCAGCGGCGUUCCACCUAUCUCCCAGUUCAGGCAAAUAAGAAUCCUCAGCGUUUUCAGGUGAAAGAAGUCCCUUCUCCUGUAAAGAGCCAGCGCCCUUGGGGUAAGGACAGACGGACCAAGCCAGCAAGGAAGUGAUGCCCGUUGGCUCCGCUUGACCUUGAGCAGCCAUCCACUGGAAAACAGCAUUUCUGCUGCCCCCUGCUGCAGGGGUCCUGUGUCCAGGGGAAGGGUUACCCUUCAGACACUGCAGGUCAGCCGGAGCAAGCCGUUCGAAGGAAUACGAUGGGGUGAAGAGGGUGCACGUCUGCAGUGUAAAACCGUCUUGAGUCCACCUGCAGCUUCUGAAACGGGUAGAUGUGAAUUCCCUCUUCUCACAGAAGGGAAGGGGCAGCUCGGAGCAGGUAGGGCUGUGUUCUUGAAGUCUCGGAGCUGCUCUGCCAAUAGUUAACUCUGACUUCCUGAUUUCCAUUUUGUUUUGGCAGCUCCCAGUCAUGUUCCUCUCUCUCUCUCUCUCUCUCUUUUUUCCUGGAAAAUUUCCCUUAAGGAACCACCGGUGAUGACCCAUGAGACAGUGUGUGAAUGCUUUGCAUUGUGCAGUGCUUUGACAUUUGGCAUUCCUAUGGCGUUAUCCCCCAUCAACGCAGAAUAAGUUGUCAGAGCAUGAAAUUGGUAUUUUUACAUAUUCUUAACGUACAGAU
This is a long non-coding RNA of Gallus gallus (chicken), 2011 nucleotides long. The record is from Ensembl. NCBI's taxonomy places the organism in Eukaryota, Metazoa, Chordata, Aves, Galliformes, Phasianidae.